This 560-nucleotide ribosomal RNA is filed under the name Turritriton tenuiliratus. RNAcentral's name for it is "partial 12S ribosomal RNA". The record is from RNAcentral. Lineage: Eukaryota; Metazoa; Mollusca; Gastropoda; Littorinimorpha; Ranellidae.
AGAGGUUAAGUUAUAUAUUUUAUGGUAAAAAGGCAGUUAAAUAUUUAAACUUUAAAUAGUUUAUUGAUUUAUUAUAUAAGGGUAAAAUCUAAAUAUAAAUGAAUAAUUUGAUAUAAACUAAUUUUUAUACGUUGACUCUGCGAAAUCCUUGAGUGAAACUGGGAUUAGAUACCCCAUUAUUCCUGGAUGUAAAUUAACGCGAGUUUACCAGAGUACUAUGAAUUCUUAAAUAAAAUUUAAAACUCAAAGAGCUUGGCGGUGUUUUAGACCUCUCAGGGGAACCUGUCUCAUAAUCGACAAUCCACGUUAAACCUAACCUUUAUUUGCCAUUUCAGUUUGUAUACCGUCGUCGUCAGGUAACUUUUAAAAAAUAAGAAGUUAGCAUUAAAAUAAUUAUAAAUUUAAACGUCAGAUCAAGGUGCAGUCUAUAUAAAGGUGAGGAUGGGUUACAAUUAUAAAUUAUAAUUUACGGAUAAGUAAUUGAAAUAUAUACCUUAAGAAGGAGGACUUGAAAGUAAAAUAAUAUAUACAAACAAUUUGAAUAAGGCUCUGAAACAUGC